UUUUUUUUUUUUUUUUUCUGACCAACAAGAUUAUUUUCACCAUACUAUGAAAACUCACAUCUUUUCUAUUACCGUCAACCACGCAACUAUGUAUCUCAUCACUUAUGUUAGUUCUAUAUAGGCCGUUGGAUUACAUCUCUACUAGUACUGCCACACACACACAUCACUCAUAUUUUCUUUGUACAUUAGUAUCUGAUUUUAAUUAGGGGUCCGCCGCCGCUUCUUCUUCACACCGAUCUGCUACAGGCGGCCUUACCCAACCCCACUCUACGAUUAGCCAGAUCAAACUCCACCCACAGAUUCUGCUGGUGGAAAUUCCCUAUUAUGUUACUCGCUGCACCUAGCAUCUCUGACCGUCCGAUUCCCACGCAGUGGACACCGCCUCCAACAUCAGCUAGGACCCUCUCUUUAUCGAUCACAAUUUCUACUCCCUUCUCGAAUUCCAGCACCAUACUUCCUAUCAACCGUACAAUCUCCGUCGGAUUUCCAUCGAAACACAUGUCCGAUACUCCGCCGUACACGUAGUUCUUCUUUAACUUUGGUCCUGCAUGUCUCACUAUCUCUUCCCUCACUUUAUUAUAAGCCUCAUCCACCAAGUACGUGAACUCGGAACCUGAAUCGAUCAUUGUUUGACCUGAUCCACUCCGAUCAGGCCGGAAAACUGACGCGGGGAUGUUUAAUCUCAUGUUGCCGAUUCUUAUUCCUUGCAUUGGAACACUGUAUGCUGAGGCGUCCAAGUUUGGUAACGUUGUUUGACUUUGAGUAAAAGUCAGAAGGCUAAUGUAUUGAAACCCGCCCGAAUUCGGAUUUUCUCCCAGAUAAAAUGACCCGGUUGAUGACAAUCCGGCCUGAGAUUGACGUGUUGGCACGCAAUAUGAGAAUUUGGAUAUUUUAGCUUGUGCAGCAAAUGAGCGCCGACCUAGAUUCAUCCCCAAAAUACCCUUGUCAUUGCUGGCGUCCUGAGCACAACCCAGGAUGAGAGGAGGGGUGCUUUGGGAACUAGAAAAUGUGAAUUUUUCCCUGACGAGACUGCCCUCAGCAUAGGUGCCAUCAGCGUAGAAGUAAGAAUAGUGGCAUAAACGGUUCUGGUCGCAAGAAGUAGGGAGGGUAAAAUCGGGAAUUCGAGGCUUGCAAAGAGGGUGAGUGCAUGGUAAAACAGAGAAGGAAGAGGAGAGAGAAGGAUCAAACGCCAUCGUAGGAGGAGGCUUCUUAGGAGUCUUAUUGUGGCACUGAAUCCAGGAGAGCUGGCUACCAGUGUCCAAAACCAUUUGCUGGGUCUGAGGAGGAGUCCCGAUGGGAAGAGACACAAUCAAGGCCAUGGAAUACUUGAAGGUGGAUCUGUAGUUGUAGGGUGAGGUUUUGAUUGGUGGGCUAUGCUUGAUUUGCGAGACAAAAGAAGAGUAAAACGAUGGAGUAGUGUUCGCAGAGUGAGGGACAGAACUGAGAGGGAAAGAGAAGGAAAUAGAGGUGGCGUUGUGUUGGCUUUCUUGGAUAGAGAGGGAAAGACAGGAGAAGAAGAGAAAGAAAAAGAGAAGGAGAGCCAUGGCGUUGGUGGUGAGUGAUGGGUUAUAGUGCAUAGGUGGGUGGUGUAUUUAUAAAUUAUAUGGGAUUUUGAGAAGAGAAAAACCAAAAGAUGAAGAAAUGAACAAAAAAGGAAGACGCGUUUUCUCAAUUGAGCGGUUAGAUGCUAUUAUGACGGAGGAGGGUAGUUUAAUUGCAGAACUUAGAUUCUCCUGUAAUAUUGUUCUGCCUAAAUAGAAGCAUGGCACCUUUUUUUUUUUUU
RNAcentral lists this unclassified non-coding RNA (1783 nucleotides) under Hevea brasiliensis (rubber tree). The record is from RNAcentral. Lineage: Eukaryota; Viridiplantae; Streptophyta; Magnoliopsida; Malpighiales; Euphorbiaceae.